This 430-nucleotide ribosomal RNA is filed under the name uncultured bacterium. Its description in RNAcentral is "partial 16S ribosomal RNA". It matches the Rfam family "Bacterial small subunit ribosomal RNA", at positions 354 to 796 of the family's 1533-position model. The record is from RNAcentral.
GUGGGGAAUAUUGCACAAUGGGCGCAAGCCUGAUGCAGCAACGCCGCGUGAGGGAUGACGGCCUUCGGGUUGUAAACCUCUUUUAGCAGGGAAGAAGCGAAAGUGACGGUACCUGCAGAAAAAGCGCCGGCUAACUACGUGCCAGCAGCCGCGGUAAUACGUAGGGCGCAAGCGUUGUCCGGAAUUAUUGGGCGUAAAGAGCUCGUAGGCGGUUUGUCGCGUCUGCUGUGAAAUCCCGAGGCUCAACCUCGGGCCUGCAGUGGGUACGGGCAGACUAGAGUGCGGUAGGGGAGAAUGGAACUCCUGGUGUAGCGGUGGAAUGCGCAGAUAUCAGGAAGAACACCAAUGGCGAAGGCAGUUCUCUGGGCCGUAACUGACGCUGAGGAGCGAAAGCAUGGGGAGCGAACAGGAUUAGAAACCCGGGUAGUCC